This 512-nucleotide ribosomal RNA is filed under the name Trigonopterus suturaelevata. Its description in RNAcentral is "partial 16S ribosomal RNA". Lineage: Eukaryota; Metazoa; Arthropoda; Insecta; Coleoptera; Curculionidae. The record is from RNAcentral.
ACCUGGCUCACGCCGGUUUAAACUCAGAUCAUGUAAAAUUUUAAAGGUCGAACAGACCUAAUUUAUUAGCUUCUACACCAAUAUUAUAUUUUAAUCCAACAUCGAGGUCGCAAUCUUUUUUUUCGAUAAGAACUCUAAAAAAAAUAACGCUGUUAUCCCUAAGGUAAUUCAAUCUUAUAAUCUUUAUAAAGGAUCAUUCACCCAUAAAUCAAUGUUUAAAUUUAAAAAAAGUUUAUCAAAUUUUUCAAUCACCCCAAUCAAAUACUAACAAAUAAUCAAUAUUUUCAUCUACCAUCAUCAAUUUGGGUUAGUAUAAAACUCUAUAGGGUCUUCUCGUCUUCUAUGCAAAUUUAAGCUUUUUAACUUAAAAAUAAAAUUCUAAUAAAAUCCUACAGAGACAGAUAUCCUCUCAUCAAACCUUUCAUUCAAGCUUCCAUUUAAAAAACUAGUGAUUAUGCUACCUUUGCACAGUCAAGAUACUGCGGCCAUUUAACUACUCAGUGGGCAGGCAA